Non-coding RNA from Gossypium raimondii (Peruvian cotton), 142 nucleotides. NCBI's taxonomy places the organism in Eukaryota, Viridiplantae, Streptophyta, Magnoliopsida, Malvales, Malvaceae. The record is from Rfam.
UGUUAAAAAUUCAUCCUUUUGCAUUGUUAAAAAUUGACGUGACUAAUAGAAUAACCUAAUAAUGACACAUAACGUGCCACGUAUAUCUCAUGCUGACAUAUAAAUACCAGUUUCUAAUUGUGGAAAUAAAUUUUUUUUAAAG